AUGGUUCCUUCACCUCUACUGAAAGUAGAAGAGAGUAGAGGAGAAAAAAAGAGCAAAACAGACAGCCCAAAUAAGCCUAAAGGGCCAAUAAGGCCAGACCCAUUUGCAUUAGUUAUAGACGCACUUUGUUCUAGAUGUUCAUUUUAUUUUCUCAGGAAACACCCACUCGUCUAUCCGUUUUUUCUAUUGUGUUUGGUUGUAUAG
Non-coding RNA from Vicia faba (fava bean), 204 nucleotides. Lineage: Eukaryota; Viridiplantae; Streptophyta; Magnoliopsida; Fabales; Fabaceae. The record is from the annotation of a GenBank genome assembly.